RNAcentral lists this unclassified non-coding RNA (291 nucleotides) under Hevea brasiliensis (rubber tree). The record is from RNAcentral. Lineage: Eukaryota; Viridiplantae; Streptophyta; Magnoliopsida; Malpighiales; Euphorbiaceae.
GAAAACUAAAUUUAAAAUGACUUCAAAUUCCGCCGCCGAAGAAGAAGGCAGAGGGGAAUUUAUUUCAUUCUCUGAUCAGCUCACUCAGGGCGCCCGCCAUUGAUGAAGGCGGCAAGCUUUCCGACGAAAUCAACCGCCUCGUUGGACGUGGGGUUGAACAAAUGAAACACGUGGCCUUGGCCCUUCGUCUCGACGACGUCGACGGCCCCGCCCCAUCCCGAUUUCUUCAGACACUCACUGUAAAACCACCCUCUGUCUUUCAGAGCGUCCUUCUCCGCCACAUAAACCGUC